CACGUAGGGCGCGAGCGUUUGUCCGGAAUUAUUGGGCGUAAAGAGCUCGUAGGCGGCCUGUUGCGUCCGCUGUGAAAGCCCGGGGCUUAACCCCGGGUCGGCAGUGGAUACGGGCAGGCUAGAGGUAGGUAGGGGAGAAUGGAAUUCCCGGUGUAGCGGUGAAAUGCGCAGAUAUCGGGAGGAACACCAGUGGCGAAGGCGGCUCACUGGCCCGGAACUGACGCUGAGGCACGAAAGCGUGGGGAGCAAACAGG
Molecule: ribosomal RNA, 254 nt
Filed under: uncultured bacterium
Lineage: Bacteria
Description: partial 16S ribosomal RNA
Rfam family: Bacterial small subunit ribosomal RNA
Source: RNAcentral